CAUGCAAGUCGAACGAGCGAGAGAGAGCUUGCUUUCUCGAGCGAGUGGCGAACGGGUGAGUAACGCGUGAGGAACCUGCCUCAAAGAGGGGGACAACAGUUGGAAACGACUGCUAAUACCGCAUAAGCCCACGACCCGGCAUCGGGUAGAGGGAAAAGGAGCAAUCCGCUUUGAGAUGGCCUCGCGUCCGAUUAGCUAGUUGGUGAGGUAACGGCCCACCAAGGCGACGAUCGGUAGCCGGACUGAGAGGUUGAACGGCCACAUUGGGACUGAGACACGGCCCAGACUCCUACGGGAGGCAGCAGUGGGGAAUAUUGCACAAUGGGGGAAACCCUGAUGCAGCGACGCCGCGUGGAGGAAGAAGGUCUUCGGAUUGUAAACUCCUGUUGUUGGGGAAGAUAAUGACGGUACCCAACAAGGAAGUGACGGCUAACUACGUGCCAGCAGCCGCGGUAAAACGUAGGUCACAAGCGUUGUCCGGAAUUACUGGGUGUAAAGGGAGCGCAGGCGGGAAGACAAGUUGGAAGUGAAAUCUAUGGGCUCAACCCAUAAACUGCUUUCAAAACUGUUUUUCUUGAGUAGUGCAGAGGUAGGCGGAAUUCCCGGUGUAGCGGUGGAAUGCGUAGAUAUCGGGAGGAACACCAGUGGCGAAGGCGGCCUACUGGGCACCAACUGACGCUGAGGCUCGAAAGUGUGGGUAGCAAACAGGAU
This 711-nucleotide ribosomal RNA is filed under the name uncultured bacterium. Its description in RNAcentral is "bacterial SSU rRNA". It matches the Rfam family "Bacterial small subunit ribosomal RNA", at positions 54 to 778 of the family's 1533-position model. The record is from RNAcentral.